Lolium perenne is the source of this 417-nucleotide long non-coding RNA. RefSeq lists it as uncharacterized. NCBI's taxonomy places the organism in Eukaryota, Viridiplantae, Streptophyta, Magnoliopsida, Poales, Poaceae. The record is from RefSeq and is a predicted model, not a curated record.
GGAGAGCGAUCGAUCAUGGAGCGUUCUUCCUCACUCACAAUCACCGCUGCCCUCCUCGCUCUCAUAUGCUGUACCUUGGCGUGCUCGGCGGCGGCCCAAGUUGCUCAGGGUGGAAGCCGUGAACCGAUACAUCCGCCAUCCCCGCUGUCCCGCUCACCGAGUCGGUCAGGGCAGGCGCGGCUCACUCCGCCUCCACCGCGGAGGAGGCCGACCAUGGCGACGCCUUUUGGGCCACACCGCAAGACCCUGCAGGAUGCAACAAGCCUCAAUUAGUUAAGUAUGAAUUAUGAAACACUGAUGCGAUGUCCGAGUUGAAGUGGAGAUGUGUUAUCUUCCAAACAUCUGUAUGUGUGCCUACCGGCGUUAGUGUUUGAUUCUAUGACGUGAAAAUAAUGUCAAUUUAUUCGUUUGAUGAAA